UACGAAGGGGGCUAGCGUUGUUCGGAAUUACUGGGCGUAAAGCGCACGUAGGCGGAUAUUUAAGUCAGGGGUGAAAUCCCAGAGCUCAACUCUGGAACUGCCUUUGAUACUGGGUAUCUCGAGUAUGGAAGAGGUGAGUGGAAUUCCGAGUGUAGAGGUGAAAUUCGUAGAUAUUCGGAAGAACACCAGUGGCGAAGGCGGCUCACUGGUCCAUUACUGACGCUGAGGUGCGAAAGCGUGGGGAGCAAACAGG
Molecule: ribosomal RNA, 253 nt
Filed under: uncultured bacterium
Lineage: Bacteria
Description: partial 16S ribosomal RNA
Rfam family: Bacterial small subunit ribosomal RNA
Source: RNAcentral